Molecule: unclassified non-coding RNA, 261 nt
Filed under: uncultured fungus
Lineage: Eukaryota; Fungi
Description: partial contains small subunit ribosomal RNA, internal transcribed spacer 1, and 5.8S ribosomal RNA
Rfam family: Eukaryotic small subunit ribosomal RNA (bases 1-73)
Source: RNAcentral
GCAAACUUGGUCAUUUAGAGGAAGUAAAAGUCGUAACAAGGUUUCCGUAGGUGAACCUGCGGAAGGAUCAUUACUGUAGGGCUUUAGUCCUGCCAAGAUAGAACCCUUGCUUUCUAGUACUAACUGUUUCCUCAGCAGGCUCGCCUGCUGCUGGGCACUUGGUUUAAAUCUUUUGCAACUGCAGAAACUGUCUGAAUACACAAGCAUAUCAAAACUUUCAACAACGGAUCUCUUGGUUCUGGCAUCGAUGAAGAACGCAGC